RNAcentral lists this ribosomal RNA (257 nucleotides) under uncultured bacterium. RNAcentral describes it as "partial 16S ribosomal RNA". It matches the Rfam family "Bacterial small subunit ribosomal RNA", at positions 524 to 776 of the family's 1533-position model. The record is from RNAcentral.
UACGGGGGGAGCAAGCGUUGUUCGGAUUUACUGGGCGUAAAGGGCGCGUAGGCGGUCGCGACAAGUCACUUGUGAAAUCUCCGGGCUUAACUCGGAAACGGUCAAGUGAUACUGUCGGACUAGAGUACAGAAGGGGCAACUGGAAUUCUCGGUGGUAGCGGUGAAAUGCGUAGAUAUCGAGAGGAACACCUGCGGCGAAGGCGGGUUGCUGGGCUGAAUACUGACGCUGAGGCGCGAAAGCGUGGGGAGCAAACAGG